AGUGAACGCUGGCGGUAGGCCUAACACAUGCAAGUCGAACGGCAGCACAGUAAGAGCUUGCUCUUACGGGUGGCGAGUGGCGGACGGGUGAGGAAUACAUCGGAAUCUACUUUUUCGUGGGGGAUAACGUAGGGAAACUUACGCUAAUACCGCAUACGACCUACGGGUGAAAGCAGGGGAUCUUCGGACCUUGCGCGAUUGAAUGAGCCGAUGUCGGAUUAGCUAGUUGGCGGGGUAAAGGCCCACCAAGGCGACGAUCCGUAGCUGGUCUGAGAGGAUGGUCAGCCAAACUGGAAGUGGAAAACGGUCCAGGAUCCUAAGGGAGGCAGCAGGUGGGAAUUUUGGGAAAGGGGGGGAAGCCUUAUCCAGCCAUACCGGGGGGGUGAAGAAGGCCUUCGGGUUGUAAAGCCCUUUUGUUGGGAAAGAAAAGCAGCAGGUUAAUACCCCGCUGUUCUGACGGUACCCAAAGAAUAAGCACCGGCUAACUUCGUG
RNAcentral lists this ribosomal RNA (492 nucleotides) under uncultured bacterium. Its description in RNAcentral is "partial 16S ribosomal RNA". It matches the Rfam family "Bacterial small subunit ribosomal RNA", at positions 29 to 507 of the family's 1533-position model. The record is from RNAcentral.